This 250-nucleotide ribosomal RNA is filed under the name uncultured bacterium. RNAcentral's name for it is "partial 16S ribosomal RNA". It matches the Rfam family "Bacterial small subunit ribosomal RNA", at positions 524 to 773 of the family's 1533-position model. The record is from RNAcentral.
UACAGAGGGUGCAAGCGUUAAUCGGAAUUACUGGGCGUAAAGCGCACGUAGGCGGUUUUUUAAGUCAGAUGCGAAAGCCCCGGGCUCAACCUGGGAAUUGCAUUUGAAACUGGGGAACUAGAGUGUGUGAGAGGGGGGUAGAAUUCCAAGUGUAGCGGUGAAAUGCGUAGAGAUUUGGAGGAAUACCAGUGGCGAAGGCGGCCCCCUGGCACAACACUGACGCUCAGGUGCGAAAGCGUGGGGAGCAAAC